ACGCUCGACACCUACGGGAGGCAGCAGUGGGGAAUAUUGCACAAUGGGGGAAACCCUGAUGCAGCGACGCCGCGUGGAGGAAGAAGGUCUUCGGAUUGUAAACUCCUGUUGGUUGGGGAAAAAGAGGAUGGUACCCAACAAGGAAGUGACGGCUAACUACGUGCUAGCAGCCGNGGUAANCUGAGCGGGCUGGCAAGGC
RNAcentral lists this ribosomal RNA (199 nucleotides) under uncultured bacterium. Its description in RNAcentral is "partial 16S ribosomal RNA". It matches the Rfam family "Bacterial small subunit ribosomal RNA", at positions 328 to 539 of the family's 1533-position model. The record is from RNAcentral.